GGACCAAGAAAAAUAAAAUAAAAUAAACAAAGCCGAUAAUUGAUGUAUCGUAAUAGCAAUUGCUAUAACCUUCUGCAGCUAUAGAGAAAAACAUAGCCGUAAACUGGACUGUCUGGACUACUACUUAAACUAACUCUCAUGUAGGCAUUAGUAAAGAAAUUAUGAGACUAAGCUACAAAGUCAUAAUCGAACCCAAAGCUCAUACGGAACUCUUAUACCAUGUUGUGACCCUGGGUCUCUG
Molecule: unclassified non-coding RNA, 241 nt
Filed under: Hevea brasiliensis (rubber tree)
Lineage: Eukaryota; Viridiplantae; Streptophyta; Magnoliopsida; Malpighiales; Euphorbiaceae
Source: RNAcentral